RNAcentral lists this ribosomal RNA (433 nucleotides) under uncultured bacterium. RNAcentral describes it as "partial 16S ribosomal RNA". It matches the Rfam family "Bacterial small subunit ribosomal RNA", at positions 29 to 507 of the family's 1533-position model. The record is from RNAcentral.
AACGAACGCUGGCGGCAUGCCUAACACAUGCAAGUCGAACGAGACCUUCGGGUCUAGUGGCGCACGGGUGCGUAACGCGUGGGAACCUGCCCUUAGGUUCGGAAUAACUCCCCGAAAGGGGUGCUAAUACCGGAUAAUGUCUUCGGACCAAAGAUUUAUCGCCUUUGGAUGGGCCCGCGUUGGAUUAGCUAGUUGGUAGGGUAAAAGCCUACCAAGGCGACGAUCCAUAGCUGGUCUGAGAGGAUGAUCAGCUACACUGGGACUGAGACACAGCCCAGAAUCCUACGGAAGGCAGCAGUGGGGAAUAUUGGACAAGGGGGGAAGGUCUGAUCCAGCAAUGCCGGGUAAGUGAUGAAGGCCGUAGGGUAGUAAAGCUCUUUUACCCGGGAUGAUAAUGACAGUACCGGGAGAAUAAGCACCGGCUAACUACGUG